GGAUCACAUUGGUUCUGGAUCGAUAUCCCAUAAGGCAGGUGGGUAGAUAAUCAAACUGAUCACAAUACUUCAUCAGAACCUAAUUUAGAUUAGCUCAGAUCGAUAUUUAGAUGAACUGAGUUAAAACAGAUCGACAUUUAGUUGAGUUGAAUUGAACCAGAUCGGCAUUCAGCCUUCUGAUGAGGUCAGCCUUCUGAUGAGGUCGGAUUUAUGAUGAUCUCAGCUUUUCAUUCAGGUCAGCUUUAUAAUGAUCUCAGUCUCCAGUUG
This 267-nucleotide long non-coding RNA is filed under the name Elaeis guineensis (African oil palm). Its description in RNAcentral is "long non-coding RNA (EGUI_LNC017678)". The record is from RNAcentral. Lineage: Eukaryota; Viridiplantae; Streptophyta; Magnoliopsida; Arecales; Arecaceae.